AGUAACGCGUGGGUAACCUGCCCAGAAGCAGGGGAUAACACCUGGAAACAGAUGCUAAUACCGUAUAACAGAGAAAACCGCCUGGUUUUCUUUUAAAAGAUGGCUCUGCUAUCACUUCUGGAUGGACCCGCGGCGCAUUAGCUAGUUGGUGAGGUAACGGCUCACCAAGGCGAUGAUGCGUAGCCGACCUGAGAGGGUAAUCGGCCACAUUGGGACUGAGACACGGCCCAG
RNAcentral lists this ribosomal RNA (231 nucleotides) under uncultured Lactobacillaceae bacterium. RNAcentral describes it as "partial 16S ribosomal RNA". It matches the Rfam family "Bacterial small subunit ribosomal RNA", at positions 109 to 334 of the family's 1533-position model. Lineage: Bacteria; Bacillati; Bacillota; Bacilli; Lactobacillales; Lactobacillaceae. The record is from RNAcentral.